Molecule: ribosomal RNA, 254 nt
Filed under: uncultured bacterium
Lineage: Bacteria
Description: partial 16S ribosomal RNA
Rfam family: Bacterial small subunit ribosomal RNA
Source: RNAcentral
UACGGGGGGGGGCAAGCGUUGUUCGGAAUUACUGGGCGUAAAGGGCUCGUAGGUGGCCAACUAAGUCAGACGUGAAAUCCCCAGGCUUAACCUGGGAACUGCGUCUGAUACUGGAUGGCUUGAAUUCGGGAGAGGGAUGCAGAAUUCCAGGUGUAGCGGUGAAAUGCGUAGAUAUCUGGAGGAACACCGGUGGCGAAGGCGGCAUCCUGGACCAACACUGACGCUGAGGAGCGAAAGCCAGGGGAGCAAACGGG